UACGGAGGAUGCGAGCGUUAUCCGGAUUUAUUGGGUUUAAAGGGUGCGUAGGCGGGACUUUAAGUCAGUGGUGAAAGUUUGCGGCUCAACCGUAAAAUUGCCAUUGAAACUGAAGUUCUUGAUUGCAGUAGAGGUAGGCGGAAUGUGUAGUGUAGCGGUGAAAUGCUUAGAUAUUACACAGAACACCAAUUGCGAAGGCAGCUUACUGGAGUGUAAAUGACGCUGAGGCACGAAAGCGUGGGUAUCAAACAGG
Molecule: non-coding RNA, 253 nt
Filed under: uncultured prokaryote
Also listed under: 1 other name
Description: partial 16S ribosomal RNA
Rfam family: Bacterial small subunit ribosomal RNA
Source: RNAcentral